RNAcentral lists this non-coding RNA (62 nucleotides) under unclassified sequences. RNAcentral's name for it is "GP20-b RNA". It matches the Rfam family "GP20-b RNA". The record is from RNAcentral.
AGUUAUCCGCCAAACGUCAAAAGCGGCGGGCGUUGCGAGAUGCGACCUCGUAGAAAAGCGUA